AGGAUAGAGGCCUACCAUGGUGGUAACGGGUAACGGGGUGUUAGGGCACGACACCGGAGAGGGAGCCUGAGAAACGGCUACCACAUCCAAGGAUGGCAGCAGGCGCGCAAAUUACCCAAUCCCGACACGGGGAGGUAGUGACAAUAAAUAACAAUACGGGGUUCUUUCGGAUCUCGUAAUUGGAAUGAGUACAAUUUAAAUCUCUUAACGAGGAACAAUUGGAGGGCAAGUCUGGUGCCAGCAGCCGCGGUAAUUCCAGCUCCAAUAGCGUAUAUUAAAGUUGUUGCAGUUAAAAAGCUCGUAGUUGAAUUUCGGGGUUAGUAGGUUGGUCAUGCCUCUGGUAUGUACUGAUCUCACUGAUUCCUCCUUCCUUAUGAACCGUAAUGCCAUUAAUUUGGUGUUGCGGGGAAUUUGGACUGUUACUUUGAAAAAAUUAGAGUGUUUAAAGCAGGCUAACGCUUGAAUACAUUAGCAUGGAAUAAUGAAAUAGGACGUUCGAUCUUAUUUUGUUGGUUUCUAGGAUUGACGUAAUGAUUAAUAGGGAUAGUUGGGGGCAUUAGUAUUCAAUUGUCAGAGGUGAAAUUCUUGGAUUUAUUGAAGACUAACUACUGCGAAAGCAUUUGCCAAGGAUGUUUUCAUUAAUCAAGAACGAAAGUUAGGGGAUCGAAGACGAUCAGAUACCGUCGUAGUCUUAACCAUAAACUAUGCCGACUAGGGAUCGGAUGAUGUUAAUUUUUUAAUGACUCAUUCGGCGCCUUACGGGA
RNAcentral lists this ribosomal RNA (764 nucleotides) under Rhizophagus irregularis. Its description in RNAcentral is "SSU rRNA". It matches the Rfam family "Eukaryotic small subunit ribosomal RNA", at positions 330 to 1095 of the family's 1831-position model. Lineage: Eukaryota; Fungi; Glomeromycota; Glomeromycetes; Glomerales; Glomeraceae. The record is from RNAcentral.